CAAGAAUAAACAUUCCUUGAC
RNAcentral lists this microRNA (21 nucleotides) under Strongyloides ratti. RNAcentral describes it as "str-miR-5359-3p". Lineage: Eukaryota; Metazoa; Nematoda; Chromadorea; Rhabditida; Strongyloididae. The record is from miRBase by way of RNAcentral.